GGUGGUGAUGGGAUAUCUCAGACAGUGAUGGUGGUGGUGGUGGGAUAUCUCAGACAGUGAUGGUGGUGGGCUAUCUCAGCCAGUGAUGAUGGUGGUGGGAUAUCUCAGACAGUGAUGGUGGUGGUGGGAUAUCUCAUACAGUGAUGGUGGUGGGCUAUCUCAGACAGUGAUGGUGGUGGUGGGAUAUCUCAGACAGUGAUGGUGGUGGUGGUGGUGGGAUAUCUCAGACAGUGAUGGUGGUGGUGGUGAGGGGAUAUCUCAGACAGUGAUGGUGGUGGUGGUGAUAUCUCAGACAGUGAUGGUGGGAUAUCUCAGACAGUGAUGGUGGUGGGAUAUCUCAGACAGUGAUGGUGGUGGUGGUGAUGGGAUAUCUCAGACAGUGGUGGUGGUGGUGGUGGGAUAUCUCAGACAGUGAUGGUGUGAUAUCUCAGACAGUGGUGGUGGUGGUGGUGGGAUAUCUCAGACAGUGAUGGUGGUGGGAUAUCUCAGACUGUGGUGGUGGUGGGAUAUCUCAGUGAUGGUGGUGGGAUAUCUCAGACAGCGGUGGUGGUGGGAUAUCUGACAGUGGUGGUGGUGGGAUAUCUCAGACAGUGAUGGUGGUGGGAUAUCUCAGACAGUGGUGGUGGUGGGAUA
Non-coding RNA from Pelobates cultripes (western spadefoot toad), 633 nucleotides. The record is from the annotation of a GenBank genome assembly. Lineage: Eukaryota; Metazoa; Chordata; Amphibia; Anura; Pelobatidae.